CGCGUAGGUGGUAGUGAAAGUCUAUGGUGGAAUCUUAGGGCUUAAACCCCUAAAACUGCCUUGGAAACUUCAUUACUUGAGUCAGUGAGGGGAGGGUAGAAUUCCUGGUGUAGCGGUGAAAUGCGUAGAUAUCAGGAGGAAGGCCGGUGGCGAAGGCGGCCCUCUGGCGCUGAACUGACGCUGAGGCGCGAAAGCGUGGGUAGCAAACAGGAUUAGAUACCCUGGUAGUCCACGCCCUAAACGGUGGGUACUAGGUGUAGGGCUCGUAAGGGUUCUGUGCCGAAGGGAAACCAUUAAGUACCCCGCCUGGGGAGUACGGCCGCAAAGUUGAA
This 332-nucleotide ribosomal RNA is filed under the name uncultured bacterium. Its description in RNAcentral is "bacterial SSU rRNA". It matches the Rfam family "Bacterial small subunit ribosomal RNA", at positions 568 to 898 of the family's 1533-position model. The record is from RNAcentral.